Non-coding RNA from Odocoileus virginianus texanus, 1997 nucleotides. The record is from RefSeq and is a predicted model, not a curated record. NCBI's taxonomy places the organism in Eukaryota, Metazoa, Chordata, Mammalia, Artiodactyla, Cervidae.
UUAAUUAAACUUAUAUCUCUUGUUUCAAAUAGCAGCUUCAGAGAACGCUCAAGUAUCUUAAAAAGAAAAUGGAUAUGCUAGUAAAGCUUUUGGGUGUUGCCACAUGAUAAAAUAUCAUAUCAUCUCUGGAUGAUUAGGCAGUAAAUUUUUAUCAAGGUCAAGUGUUGCUUUUUAGCAACUGUGUAAAAGAAAGUAGAAGAGGAAAUACUUCCAACUCAUGAGGUCAGCUUUUCUUACCCUGUCCCCAAAGCAAAGACAAUACAAGCAGAAAACAAAAACAAAAGAACACUACAGACCAAUAUUCAUGAACAAUGCCUUGCAAUUCUUAACAAAUGGUUUGUUUUCUUUGAGAAGUUGUACAGUUUUUGCUUUUAUGCUUAGGCCUGUAAUCUAUUUCAGAUAAAAUUUCACAUCCAGUGUUAGUUUCUAAUGACACCAUGCUCUUCACUUUGCUAGACAGGCUGAAUGUCCACAGCAUCACUCUUCUCUAAUUGUUCCUCCCCCUCUCACCCGAAUUAGAAUGCUCACUCUUCAGGGCAGAUACCAAACCCAAGUCCUCUCUGAAUCUUUCCUAGCACAAUUCUUGCUUCAGAGCAGGUGCAUAAUAAACAUUUGCGAGUCAUGUUUGGUUCUCAUCUCCCUCUUUUCUCUUUUCCACACCUGCUUUCCUAAAAAACUUUUAAUUCCUGCCCAUCCUUCUUUCUCAGUAUGUCUUGAAUUGUUUAUUUUCACUAGUUCAUCCCCCUACUUUAGUAUAUACAGGUUGUAACAGGCAUCCUGUCUUGAGAUUCUUCUCUUCCACAUCCAUCUCCAAACCACUGUGAGGUCAAUUCUCCCUAAGAGGCUCUGCCAUGCUUUUGUUUGAUAAACUUUACUGAAUAAAGUUUAAACACUUUAGCUUGGCAUUCAAGACACUCUGUAGCCUGGUUUCGAUUCUCUCAGACUUCUGCUACUCCGUGUCCCCAUAUAUGCCAUUUCCUCUGUGCAGAAGGACGGCAGUGCCACAGCUGCAUGGCUGAGAUUCUGACCACUUUCUGAGACACACUGCAGCGUUAGCUCCUACGGGGAGUCUCCCCACCUGGCCUAGAGGGACACAGUACCUCCUUUUCUUUGCACUCUUAUAGUGCUUAGGGAGACUGCUCGCUAAGUUUACAAUAAAAGACCAUUUACAUACAUUUCUAAUCUUUCCUUUUAGACUCCUGGCUCUUAGGGGGGAGGACUGUGUUUUUGCAUUCCACAUUGCUCCUAGGUCAGUAUCUUUUCUAUAGAAAGAAGUAAAUGCAUAUUUCAUAUCUAAGGUACAGUGAAAACAGCAGAAGGCCCUUGUGGCAAACUGCAUUCUCCAAAGAAACAUUCCUCUCAGACACCACCUUCUGACAGUGUGACUGACAUUCUUCCCAUUAAGAGAUGGGGGCUUAUGUUCCCUUUCCUAUCUAGAUAGGCUGUGAUCUGUAUGAUUCUGAGACUAGGUCAUAAAAAGCAAAACAGCUUUUAUCUGGUUCUCUUUGGGAUGUUCAUUCCUAGAUCUCAGCUAUCAUGCUGUGAGGAAGAGCAAGUAGCCUUAGGGAAAGGCCACAUGUAGGUGUUCCAGCUGGUGUCCAAACAGCAGCGAGCAUCAACCCCCAGACGUGGGAGUGAGCAGUGAGCAAGCUUCAGGGGAUCAGUCCUGCGCUGUCAGCUGAGGACCCCAACAUCAUGGAGCAGCGAAGUGCCAUCCAGCUGUACCCUUUCUGAAUUUCUGGCCGAUAAAAUCUGGGAGCGUAAUAAAAUGGUGCUUGUUUUAUACCAUGAAGUUUGGGGCUGCACAUCGAUAGUUUAGUGCAACAGUCUUUUCAUUUCUUUAUAUCAGAUACUACUAAAAAAAUUUUUUCUGAAAACUAUAUCAAACUAAUGGAAAAGUACUUUAAAUUAACACUUUCACAGACCUGUAUACCCUGAAAAUGUAUUAAGAAAUCAGAAAUCUCUAGGAGGUAUGUGAAUUUUAUGUGAUUUUUAGU